UAAUGGAUUUUUCUCGUCCUU
RNAcentral lists this non-coding RNA (21 nucleotides) under Arabidopsis thaliana (thale cress). The record is from RNAcentral. Lineage: Eukaryota; Viridiplantae; Streptophyta; Magnoliopsida; Brassicales; Brassicaceae.